UACGUAGGUGGCAAGCGUUGUCCGGAAUUAUUGGGCGUAAAGAGCUCGUAGGUGGCUUGUCGCGUCUGCCGUGAAAGCCCAUGGCUUAACUGUGGGUCUGCGGUGGAUACGGGCAGGCUGGAGGCUGGUAGGGGCAAGCGGAAUUCCUGGUGUAGCGGUGAAAUGCGCAGAUAUCAGGAGGAACACCGGUGGCGAAGGCGGCUUGCUGGGCCAGUUCUGACGCUGAGGAGCGAAAGCGUGGGGAGCAAACAGG
This 253-nucleotide ribosomal RNA is filed under the name uncultured bacterium. RNAcentral's name for it is "partial 16S ribosomal RNA". It matches the Rfam family "Bacterial small subunit ribosomal RNA", at positions 524 to 776 of the family's 1533-position model. The record is from RNAcentral.